ACACUCUCAACUUUUUUAGAAGAGAAGCAUUUAUUAGAUAAAAAAUUAAUGCAUGUUUUUAUAACAUGAAAAUUAGUGAUUUACAAUAACUGAGCAAAUCGCAUAGUGAAAACUGGCGAUGCAUCAUUCAAGUUUCUGACCUAUCAGCUUUCGACGGUAUGGUAUUGGCUUACCGUGGCAGUGACGGUUAACGGGGGAUUAGGGUUCGAUUCCGGAGAGGGAGCCUGAGAAACGGCUACCACAUCUAAGGAAGGCAGCAGGCGCGCAAAUUACCCAAUUCUAACAGCAUAAGAGAGGUAGUGACAAGAAAUAACAGUACAAGGCAGUUAAAAUGUUUUGUAAUUGGAAUGAUAGAAAUUUAAACACUUUUUAAAGUAUCAAUUGGAGGGCAAGUCUGGUGCCAGCAGCCGCGGUAAUUCCAGCUCCAAUAGCGUAUAUUAAAAUUGUUGCAGUUAAAAAGCUCGUAGUUGAAUUUUUGCUAGAAAUAACCGGUCUGCUUUUAUUAACUAAGAGUGGUAUCUUGGUGUGUUUUUAGCAAUAAUGUC
This 545-nucleotide ribosomal RNA is filed under the name Hepatozoon sp. RNAcentral describes it as "bacterial SSU rRNA". It matches the Rfam family "Eukaryotic small subunit ribosomal RNA", at positions 174 to 711 of the family's 1831-position model. Lineage: Eukaryota; Apicomplexa; Hepatozoidae. The record is from RNAcentral.